Molecule: ribosomal RNA, 465 nt
Filed under: Vreelandella stevensii
Lineage: Bacteria; Pseudomonadati; Pseudomonadota; Gammaproteobacteria; Oceanospirillales; Halomonadaceae
Description: partial 16S ribosomal RNA
Rfam family: Bacterial small subunit ribosomal RNA
Source: RNAcentral
CCUACGGGAGGCUGCAGAGGGGAAUAUUGGACAAUGGGGGGAACCCUGAUCCAGCCAUGCCGCAUGUGUGAAGAAGGCCCUCGGGUUGUAAAGCACUUUCAGUGAGGAAGAACGCCUGGUGGUUAAUACCCAUCAGGAAAGACAUCACUCACAGAAGAAGCACCGGCUAACUCCGUGCCAGCAGCCGCGGUAAUACGGAGGGUGCGAGCGUUAAUCGGAAUUACUGGGCGUAAAGCGCGCGUAGGUGGCUUGAUAAGCCGGUUGUGAAAGCCCCGGGCUCAACCUGGGAACGGCAUCCGGAACUGUCAAGCUAGAGUGCAGGAGAGGAAGGUAGAAUUCCCGGUGUAGCGGUGAAAUGCGUAGAGAUCGGGAGGAAUACCAGUGGCGAAGGCGGCCUUCUGGACUGACACUGACACUGAGGUGCGAAAGCGUGGGUAGCAAACAGGAUUAGAUACCCUAGUAGUC